This is a long non-coding RNA of Labeo rohita (rohu), 420 nucleotides long. RefSeq lists it as uncharacterized. The record is from RefSeq and is a predicted model, not a curated record. Lineage: Eukaryota; Metazoa; Chordata; Actinopteri; Cypriniformes; Cyprinidae. The transcript is spliced from 3 exons.
CUAAGCUGCGCCUGCGGAAAGACACUGAAGUUUCAAUGUGUUUUUGUUUCUCCUGAUAAUUCAGUGCAGAGCUACUCUUCCAUUGACAUCCAUUCAAAGAAAACGGCCUCUGGUCUCUUUUCCCACGUACUGCCAGACCAGAAGCGUUAGCUUUAGCCGUUACACUUUUUCAGCUAAUGCAAGCAGGCUUGCAAAAUAGUGGCUUUGCUUUAGGAUCAUUAGAAAAUCACAUGUGGAGGCUGAUUAAAAAUGUUCCUUCCAGCCAAGUCCUCCUGAUUCUGUAGUUGAGAGUGAGAUAAAGGUGUGGUUGCGGAAUUCAAGAGACAGACUGGGUGGAUGAAAGAGGGAGCUUUGCCAAUGAAUACUUCUGCACACCAAAUCAUAUUUUCAGCAGAGCUCGAAGUAAUAAUUUGGUAUUUU